AUUGAACGCUGGCGGCAUGCCUUACACAUGCAAGUCGAACGGCAGCAUGAUCUAGCUUGCUAGAUUGAUGGCGAGUGGCGAACGGGUGAGUAAUACAUCGGAACGUGCCCUGUAGUGGGGGAUAACUAGUCGAAAGAUUGGCUAAUACCGCAUACGACCUGAGGGUGAAAGUGGGGGACCGCAAGGCCUAAUGCUAUAGGAGCGGCCGAUGUCUGAUUAGCUAGUUGGUGGGGUAAAGGCCCACCAAGGCGACGAUCAGUAGCUGGUCUGAGAGGACGAUCAGCCACACUGGGACUGAGACACGGCCCAGACUCCUACGGGAGGCAGCAGUGGGGAAUUUUGGACAAUGGGGGCAACCCUGAUCCAGCAAUGCCGCGUGUGUGAAGAAGGCCUUCGGGUUGUAAAGCACUUUUGUCCGGAAAGAAAUCGCACUUACUAAUAUUAGGUGUGGAUGACGGUACCGGAAGAAUAAGGACCGGCUAACUACGUGCCAGCCGCCGCGGUAA
This 506-nucleotide ribosomal RNA is filed under the name uncultured bacterium. Its description in RNAcentral is "partial 16S ribosomal RNA". It matches the Rfam family "Bacterial small subunit ribosomal RNA", at positions 30 to 523 of the family's 1533-position model. The record is from RNAcentral.